GAUGAUGAUGUCACGAACCCAGCGGCCGUCGUUGAGUGACAGAAGGGGUGUGUGUGUGUUGGUGCGGACAGAGAACUAUACGGACGGUGGGUUGCCCUGCCCCUUCCAACGAGAGAGGGCCGCCGCGUCUUGUCUGCUAUAGAUACGUAUCUAUAGCGCUGGCCUGGAACGUAAAUAUCAGUCGGUGAGUGGCGGCGGCAUCGAUAGCUCGGCUUUCAGCUUCAGGGGCUGGAGAAAAAAGCCAAAGCUGAAGAGUGCAGAGUCAUUAGUGGGAGGAGAAUUCCUCCCAGACUCAGAUUGGACGAUUGUAAUGAGGUUCCAUGUUUAGCCGCCAUUUCGGAAGCAGAACCUAUAAGGAAAAGGCUUCAGUGAAUUGCUUCAACUUAUGCAAAAGAAAAUCAAAUCAGAACAUCCCAUGCUGACUGUAUCCAAGGAAUCCAUCCCAGAUCCUGCGUCAUCUUUCUCAUUAACUACCUUACUGAGACUCCACCCAGAGACCCACAGACCUCAAAGGAAAACUGAAUCAUAUCAAAGCAUGAAAGUAGUCUUACUCUUCAGCCUUUUUUUUCUAAUUUACGCUUACUUGGAAUGAAAUAGCCAUGAACAUAAUCGAAAUAUAGUCUAUUUGCCUCUUGUUCUUUGGGAGGGCUUAUUUCUACCACAAAAAUACAAAACUUAGAUCACAAAGAAAGUUAGAAGGAAGCAGUUUUUGAUUGCAUCCACAAAAGGCAGGUCAAAAGCAGCUAAGAUGUGAUAAUAUCUACAUACCAGUGCCUUAAUCCACAUUAAAGGCCUUAAAAUGCAUUUCCAAAAGGCAUCUUCUGUUCUUUAAUAUUGAUUAUAGGCAGAAUGGGAACACUACUGUCCGCAUGCUACUACUUCCAAGCUACGUUUUAGUAUGUGUUGAUGCAGCCUUUGCUUUCUAGUGGGGAAAAGUACAGGAAAGUGUUAUUCCCAGCACCUCCUCACAGAUAUAAACAACAAGGAGACAUCAGAAACACUCCCCUUGCAAAUACCAUAAACUCUGGUAUCAAACCCACAAAAAACAAGGGACAGAUGGAAUAGAGUAAUUAAGAUUAAUGGCUAUGUUCAUCUCAGGAUGGCUUGAUACAGUUGUGUUUGUAGUGUACCUACUGAAAAUAUAAUGCUGAUGCAAACAUAUUUGAAAAGCAUACCAGGAGUAUAAUAAAAAAGUGCCUUGAUAGUUGGUUCUGUCA
Molecule: long non-coding RNA, 1217 nt
Filed under: Salvator merianae (Argentine black and white tegu)
Lineage: Eukaryota; Metazoa; Chordata; Lepidosauria; Squamata; Teiidae
Description: lncRNA (ENSSMRG00000012734.1)
Source: RNAcentral